AUAGGGCGGUACCUUGACGGUACCUAACGAGAAAGCCCCGGCUAACUACGUGCCAGCAGCCGCGGUAAUACGUAGGGGGCAAGCGUUGUCCGGAAUUAUUGGGCGUAAAGCGCGCGCAGGCGGUUCCUUAAGUCUGAUGUGAAAGCCCACGGCUCAACCGUGGAGGGCCAUUGGAAACUGGGGAACUUGAGGAUAGAAGAGGAGAGUGGAAUUCCACGUGUAGCGGUGAAAUGCGUAGAUAUGUGGAGGAACACCAGUGGCGAAGGCGACUCUCUGGUCUAUCUCUGACGCUGAGGUGCGAAAGCGUGGGUAGCAAACAGGAUUAGAUACCCUGGUAGUCCACGCUGUAAACGAUGAGUGCUAGGUGUUAGGGGGCUUCCACCCCUUAGUGCUGAAGUUAACGCAUUAAGCACUCCNCCGGAUUCACCCCCCCNUAAACNAUNAAAGUGUUUUUNAAUCNUAAANUUU
Molecule: ribosomal RNA, 468 nt
Filed under: uncultured Halobacillus sp.
Lineage: Bacteria; Bacillati; Bacillota; Bacilli; Caryophanales; Bacillaceae
Description: bacterial SSU rRNA
Rfam family: Bacterial small subunit ribosomal RNA (bases 1-419)
Source: RNAcentral